This 497-nucleotide ribosomal RNA is filed under the name uncultured bacterium. RNAcentral's name for it is "partial 16S ribosomal RNA". It matches the Rfam family "Bacterial small subunit ribosomal RNA", at positions 28 to 507 of the family's 1533-position model. The record is from RNAcentral.
GAUGAACGCUGGCGGCGUGCCUAAUACAUGCGAGUCGAGCGAACAGACGAGGAGCUUGCUCCUCUGACGUUAGCGGCGGACGGGUGAGUAACACGUGGAUAACCUACCUAUAAGACGGGGAUAACUUCGGGAAACCGGAGCUAAUACCGGAUAAUAUAUUGAACCGCAUGGUUCAAUAGUGAAAGACGGUUUUGCUGUCACUUAUAGAUGGAUCCGCGCCGCAUUAGCUAGUUGGUAAGGUAACGGCUUACCAAGGCAACGAUGCGUAGCCGACCUGAGAGGGUGAUCGGCCACACUGGAACUGGGACACGGUCCAGACUCCUACGGGAGGCAGCAGUAGGGAAUCUUCCGCAAUGGGCGAAAGCCUGACGGAGCAACGCCGCGUGAGUGAUGAAGGUCUUCGGAUCGUAAAACUCUGUUAUUAGGGAAGAACAAAUGUGUAAGUAACUAUGCACGUCUUGACGGUACCUAAUCAGAAAGCCACGGCUAACUACGUG